AUGAUCAUACCAUGCUGAAUAUACCAGUUCUCGUUUGAUCACCGAAAUCCAAGCAUCAUCGGGCGCGGUCAGUACUUAGGAGGAUGACCACCUAGGCACAACGCGUACCGUU
Non-coding RNA from Caerostris extrusa, 112 nucleotides. The record is from the annotation of a GenBank genome assembly. Lineage: Eukaryota; Metazoa; Arthropoda; Arachnida; Araneae; Araneidae.